CCUGAGUUGCUGUUCAUUAGGGCUGUGGAGAGGUUUGGUCCCUGAUUCGCUUCAGUGGAGACUUGGCCCGAUUCAGUGGCUGAAUCUCCAAAUCAAAUCAGAGGACCCUUUAAUCUCUCCAAAUA
Molecule: long non-coding RNA, 125 nt
Organism: Gavialis gangeticus (Gharial)
Lineage: Eukaryota; Metazoa; Chordata; Crocodylia; Gavialidae
Exons: 3
Source: RefSeq, a predicted model, not a curated record